Long non-coding RNA from Marmota monax (woodchuck), 3536 nucleotides. RefSeq lists it as uncharacterized. The record is from RefSeq and is a predicted model, not a curated record. The transcript has 3 exons. Lineage: Eukaryota; Metazoa; Chordata; Mammalia; Rodentia; Sciuridae.
GGCUCUGCCUGCCCCCGGCCUGGGGCACCACACCCUGGGUCCCCCGCUCCUGGGGCUCAUCACAGCUCUGCACGCCCCCCGACCCGGGGCUUCCAGGUCUUUCUCCACCUGCUGGGAGAAGCUGCCCCUCAGAUCAGCCAGGCUGGUGGAGGUGGAGCGUCCCCAGGGUGGCUCCCCUCAGGCGAGACUCCCCUCAGGUGUGACUCCCUCAGGUGUGACUCCCCUCAGGGGUGACCCCCCUCAGGUGUGACUCCCCUAAGGUGUGACUCCCUCAGGUGUGACCCCCCUCAGGUGUGAUCCCCCUCAGGUGUGACUCCUUCAGGUGUGCUCCCCUCAGGCAUUGCUCCCCUCGGGUGUGAACCCCCUCAGGUGUGAACCCCCCAGUUGUGACUCUCAUGUGUGACCCCUCCUUAGGUGUGAACCCUCCUUAGGUGUGACUCCCUCAGGUGUUACUCCCCUCAGGUGUGACUCCCUCAGAUGUGACCCUCCUCAGGUGUGACUCCCUCAGGUAUGACACCCCUCAGGAAUUGCUCCCCUCAGUCGUGACUCCCCUCAGGUGAGACUCCCCUCAGGUGUGAACCCCCUCAGGCAUUGCUCCCAUCAGUCCUGACUCCCCUUGGGUGAGACUCCUCUCAGGUGCGAACCCCCCAGGUGUGAUCCCCCUCAGGUGUAACUCCCCUCAGUUGUGACCCCCCUCAGGCAUUGCUCCCCUCAGUCGUGACUCCCCUCAGGCAAAACUCCCCUCAGGUGUGACUCCCUCAGGUGUGACUCCCCUCAGGUGUGACCCCCCUCAGGCAUUGCUCCCCUCAAUCGUGACUCCCCUCAGGUGAGACUCCUCUCAGGUGUGAACCCCAUCAGGUGUGACUCCCCUCAGAUGUGACCCCCUCAGGCAUUGCUCCUCUCAGUCGUGACUCCCCUCAGGUGAGACUCCUCUCAGGUGUGAACCCCCUCAGAUGUUGCUCCCCUCAGGUGUGACUCCCUCAGGUGUUGCUCCCCUCAGGUGUAUCUCCUUCAGGUGUAACCCCCUCAGGAGUGACUCCCCUCAGGUGUGACUCCCCUCAGGUGUGAUCCCCCUCAGGUGUGACUCCCCUCAGGUGUGACCCCCCUCAGGCAUUGCUCCCCUCAAUCAUGACUCCCCUCAGGUGAGACUCCUCUCAGGUGUGAACCCCAUCAAGUGUGACUCCCUCAGGUGUGACUCCCCUCAGGUGUGACCCCCCCCAGGCAUUGCUCCCCUCAGUCGUGACUCUCCUCAGGUGAGACUCCUCUCAGGUGUGAACCCCCUCAGGUGUUGCUCCCCUAGGUGUGACUCCUUCAGGUGUUGCUCCCCUCAGGUGUGACUCCUUCAGGUGUAACCCACUCAGGAGUGACUCCCCUCAGGUGUGACUCCCCUCAGGUGUGACCUCCUCAGGUGUGUCUCCCAUCAGGUGUGACCCCCAUCAGGCAUUGCUCCCCUCAGUCGUGACUCCCCUCAGGUGAGACUCCUCUCAGGUGUGAACCCCCUCAGGUGUUGCUCCCCUCAGGUGUUGCUCCCCUCAGGUGUGACUCCUUCAGGUGUAACACCUCAGGAGUGACUCCCCUCAGGUGUGACCUCCUCAGGAGUGACUCCCCUCAGGUGUGAACCCCCUCAGGUGUGACUCCCUCAGGUGUGACUCCCCUCAGGUGUGACUCCCUCAGAUGUGACCCCCUCAGGCAUUGCUCCCCUCAGUCGUGACUCCCCUCAGGUGAGACUCCUCUCAGGUGUGAACCCCCUCAGAUGUUGCUCCCCUCAGGUGUUGCUCCCCUCAGAUGUAUCUCCUUCAGGUGUAACCCCCUCAGGAGUGACUCCCCUCAGGUGUGACUCCCCUCAGGUGUGAUCCCCCUCAGGUGUGACUCCCCUCAGGUGUGACCCCCCUCAGGCAUUGCUCCCCUCAAUCAUGACUCCCCUCAGGUGAGACUCCGCUCAGGUGUGAACCCCAUCAAGUGUGACUCCCUCAGGUGUGACUCCCCUCAGGUGUGACCCCCCCAGGCAUUGCUCCCCUCAGUCGUGACUCCCCUCAGGUGAGACUCCUCUCAGGUGUGAACCCCCUCAGGUGUUGCUCCCCUCAGGUGUUGCUCCCCUCAGGUGUGACUCCUUCAGGUGUAACACCUCAGGAGUGACUCCCCUCAGGUGUGACCUCCUCAGGAGUGACUCCCCUCAGGUGUGAACCCCCUCAGGUGUGACCUCCUCAGGUGUGACUCCCCUCAGGUGUGACUCCCCUCAGGUGUGACCUCCUCAGGUGUGACUCCCCUCAGGUGUGACCUCCUCAGGUGUGACUCCCCUCAGGUGUGAACCCCCUCAGGUGUAACCCACUCAGGAGUGACUCCCCUCAGGUGUGACCUCCUCAGGUGUGACUCCCCUCAGGUGUGAACCCCCUCAGGUGUGACUCCCCUCAGGUGUGACUCCCCUCAGGUGUGACCUCCUCAGGUGUGAGUCCCCUGGGGUGUGCCGGGUGUCAGGGCGGGUCCUGAGCUUGCCGCUUGCUGGGUUUCAAGAUGCCCUCCUUUCUGGUGCUGGUGGAGCCCAGGUCCUGGUGCUGCCCCUGAGCCCUGCUGCAGCCCAGACUUGGUCCACACCCGAGUGCCCUCCUUGCCCCAGGACCCCGUGGUUGUGGGUGGACGGAGCCCGAGCUGCUGCAGGUCAGGCCUGGUUGCCACACCUGAGCACGCGGGAUGGGCCUUUGACGGGGUACAGAGACACCCAGGUGGCCUCUUGGGCACACAGUUGCACCCAGGCUCCCAGCGCCAGCCCUCACACGCAGGAGCAAGCUGGCCCCAGCGCGGGUGUUUACUUAUUGAGCUCCUACUGCGUGCCACGCUCUUCUAGUGCAGGACAUGGAAUGGACCAGACAGAUGGCAGUUGUUCCCUGUGUCCAGGGUCUGUGCUUCGGUGGGGCAGAAGUGGGGUCCCUGGACCUGUGUCAGGAGGUCCCCAUCCUGGAGUACACACAGUGGGCGCUGGGAAGCUGUGGCUGUGAAGGGGCCGUCAGCAGGGCUCCCCUGUGGAGGUGGCACUGCAGCGGGGACGCCGGGAGGUGGCAGGGGAGCCACAGGGAAGCACCUGCCACGCCUCUUGUUGGGAACCCUUGACAUCCAAAGACUUGGAUGUCACUGUCUCAUUCCACAGAGAGGGACUGAGGCACAGAGUGGGUAAGAGGCUGGCUCAGGGUUGCUCAGCAGAUUUGUUCUCACUCCCUGCCCCAAAGCCUGUGCUCCGGGGCCACGCAUGCCACAUUUCUUUCAUCGCCAGCUGGAAUUCCAACCCUGUCCUUCCAACCGGGUGGCCCAGCAGCCUCCUACACUUUGGAAGGGGGCAGGCAUGUUACGACGAGAAUGGCUGCCCAUCUGCAGAGGUGGGGUCAGCCGUGAAGAGAGUGAGAGAGGCACAGAGAGGUUGGGCCACUGUGCAGGGAUGCACAGCGCAUGGAUGGGGGGCUGGAAGGUGGGGGGAGUGGCUUGGUCUUGUGGAUGCGGGGCCUAGGCACCCAGGGAGCCCCCCAGCAGGCCUCUUCCUUCCUCUC